Molecule: long non-coding RNA, 1338 nt
Organism: Sitodiplosis mosellana (orange wheat blossom midge)
Lineage: Eukaryota; Metazoa; Arthropoda; Insecta; Diptera; Cecidomyiidae
Exons: 3
Source: RefSeq, a predicted model, not a curated record
CCAAGCCGCCCAAAUUUCUUCUUAAGAAUCAAGUUAUUGCACAUCAUUUUCCAUAGAGUGUUAGAAUCAUAUGCAUAAAAAGGAUUUAAUAGGAUAUGAAAAGUAUAUUCAUUCGAAGGACUAUGUCUGAAUUAUGGCGAAUUCAUUAUAUGUUAUCUAUUUCUUAUUGUUUGAACAUAAUUUCAUCACACUCGGAAAUUAGUGGAACAAAGCAAAAGUUGAUAUUUGCUUGCAUUUGCGUAGUGAACGUUAUCAAGUUUUCAAAAUUGUUGAUUCAUUUGGAAAAAACUGCGUAGUAAUGUGUUCUUUGUCUUAAAAUACGACGAGUCUAUGUACUUGAAUAUUUCCAGCUGUUUCUAUUUAUAUGGAGCUACCGUUGCUUAUCAUAUAUCAAAUACAAUUAAGACUUCAAAGACACAAAUCGAAAAAAAAACGAAAAAGUUCUGCAAAUUCAUCGGAAAAUGAUCAAAUAGCCCAAAUUGAUUGAAUUGAAAAAAAUCGCAACUUAUGUAUCGUGGAAAUGUGAAUGAUUUGAAAAUUGAACUCAAAAUAGAUGCAAAUGCGUCUCAUUAUUGAGUUGAUUAACUGCUUUUCAGCACUUCUUCCAAUAGAAAAAAUAGCUUGCUCAGAAGUUUCUUCGUUUUGAUGUGCACUCGACUAUAGACAAACUUGCAAUAAGUGCUAUUUCCACUGAGUAAAAUGGCGCUUCGCAAUGUCAAGUUAGCAUGAUGUUGUGUGGCUUUGAAGUGUUCCUAGAGGAAACGUAUCCAGUGAUGCCUGAAGCAGAAAAAGGGCAAUUGCGCAUUUUCAAUGGACAGUCGUGUGGCUUUCAACUUCAAAACAUCACACGAAAAAAAUCCACUUGGCCCCGAAUUCAGCGUGGACCGAGAGACACAUCAUGUUCAAAGAGAACGAAACAUUGAAAGCCAUUCAAUAUAACAUCAUAACAGAACCUACCGGCUUUCACCUGCUCAGAUGAAUACGUUAGGCUUCAUGCGAGCGAAGAACCGUGCGAAUGUGAAAAAUGUAAGAGCUGUUGUAAGAGACGUUUUGUCGAGAGAAAAGACUCAACCUCACACCAACGACGGAAUGUGCGUGGAGCUGGAAGUACUACAGAUAUCAAAAAUCUCGGUUCAAUGAAGACAUAGUGCCAUAGUUUAAUUAUAAAACAAAAUGGAACAGCAAGAAUGAGGCACCGGGACAACCUUCAAAAUCAUAAAUUACUCCAAUUUCAUUUAAGUUUCCAUUGAACUCUAUUGAAUGAUAUACGGCAAAAUACAAGUUGCUGUUCGCAAUAAAAUGUGUUGUGAAUAAAAGUUGUGUUUUAUAUAUGGAAUA